Phyllostomus discolor (pale spear-nosed bat) is the source of this 237-nucleotide long non-coding RNA. RefSeq lists it as uncharacterized. The transcript has 3 exons. The record is from RefSeq and is a predicted model, not a curated record. Lineage: Eukaryota; Metazoa; Chordata; Mammalia; Chiroptera; Phyllostomidae.
GAUCUGUACCCAAAUCCCUCAUUUUGCUCCAGCUCCACCCUGACAGAACCUACAGACCCAAGUGUUGAUCAAUUAGAAGAUGCCUAUAGUGCUAGGGACUUUUAGCUGCCAGAUACUGAGUUUAAGUAUAGUCCUUCCCAGUGUGGGAAAGGAAGAGGGAUUAAAAGUGAAUUAUGGUUAAAUCUAGAUGGGUAAAAAAGGCUGUAGAAGGUUUCUGAAUGUCUGCAGACAUUCUGU